RNAcentral lists this ribosomal RNA (550 nucleotides) under uncultured bacterium. RNAcentral's name for it is "bacterial SSU rRNA". It matches the Rfam family "Bacterial small subunit ribosomal RNA", at positions 355 to 896 of the family's 1533-position model. The record is from RNAcentral.
UGGGGAAUCUUCCGCAAUGGACGAAAGUCUGACGGAGCAACGCCGCGUGAGUGAUGACGGCCUUCGGGUUGUAAAGCUCUGUUAAUCGGGACGGAUGGUUCUUGUGCGAAUAGUGCGAGGAUUUGACGGUACCGGAAUAGAAAGCCACGGCUAACUACGUGCCAGCAGCCGCGGUAAUACGUAGGUGGCAAGCGUUGUCCGGAAUUAUUGGGCGUAAAGCGCGCGCAGGCGGAUUGGUCAGUCUGUCUUAAAAGUUCGGGGCUUAACCCCGUGAUGGGAUGGAAACUGCCAAUCUAGAGUAUCGGAGAGGAAAGUGGAAUUCCUAGUGUAGCGGUGAAAUGCGUAGAUAUUAGGAAGAACACCAGUGGCGAAGGCGACUUUCUGGACGAAAACUGACGCUGAGGCGCGAAAGCCAGGGGAGCGAACGGGAUUAGAUACCCCGGUAGUCCUGGCCGUAAACGAUGGGUACUAGGUGUAGGAGGUAUCGACCCCUUCUGUGCCGGAGUUAACGCAAUAAGUACCCCGCCUGGGGAGUACGACCGCAAGGUUG